GGGGAUUAGCUCAGUUGGUUAGAGCGUUUGCUUGACAUGCAAAAGGUCGGUGGUUCGAGUCCACUAUCUC
Molecule: transfer RNA, 70 nt
Filed under: bovine gut metagenome
Rfam family: tRNA
About the family: Transfer RNA (tRNA) molecules are approximately 80 nucleotides in length. Their secondary structure includes four short double-helical elements and three loops (D, anti-codon, and T loops). Further hydrogen bonds mediate the characteristic L-shaped molecular structure. tRNAs have two regions of fundamental functional importance: the anti-codon, which is responsible for specific mRNA codon recognition, and the 3' end, to which the tRNAs corresponding amino acid is attached (by aminoacyl-tRNA synthetases). tRNAs cope with the degeneracy of the genetic code in two manners: having more than one tRNA (with a specific anti-codon) for a particular amino acid; and 'wobble' base-pairing, i.e. permitting non-standard base-pairing at the 3rd anti-codon position.
Source: RNAcentral